RNAcentral lists this ribosomal RNA (430 nucleotides) under uncultured bacterium. Its description in RNAcentral is "partial 16S ribosomal RNA". It matches the Rfam family "Bacterial small subunit ribosomal RNA", at positions 29 to 507 of the family's 1533-position model. The record is from RNAcentral.
AACGAACGCUGGCGGCAGGCUUAACACAUGCAAGUCGAACGCCCCGCAAGGGGAGUGGCAGCCGGGUGAGUAACGCGUGGGAACAUACCCUUUUCUACGGAAUAGCUCUGGGAAACUGGAAUUAAUACCGUAUACGCCCUACGGGGGAAAGAUUUAUCGGGGAAGGAUUGGCCCGCGUUGGAUUAGCUAGUUGGUGGGUAAAGGCCUACCAAGGCGACGAUCCAUAGCUGGUCUGAGAGGAUGAUCAGCCACAUUGGGACUGAGACACGGCCCAAACUCCUACGGGAGGCAGCAGUGGGGAAUAUUGGACAAUGGGCGCAAGCCUGAUCCAGCCAUGCCGCGUGAGUGAUGAAGGCCUUAGGGUUGUAAAGCUCUUUCACCGAUGAAGAUAAUGACGGUAGUCGGAGAAGAAGCCCCGGCUAACUUCGUG